UUAUGGUGGCGACCGGCGGACGGGUGCGUAACACGUAUCCAACCUGCCGAUGACUCGGGGAUAGCCUUUCGAAAGAAAGAUUAAUACCCGAUGGCAUAGUUCUUCCGCAUGGUAGAACUAUUAAAGGAUUUCGGUCAUCGAUGGGGAUGCGUUCCAUUAGGUUGUUGGCGGGGUAACGGCCCACCAAGACUACGAUGGAUAGGGGUUCUGAGAGGAAGGUCCCCCACAUUGGAACUGAGACACGGUCCAAACUCCUACGGGAGGCAGCAUG
This 271-nucleotide ribosomal RNA is filed under the name uncultured bacterium. Its description in RNAcentral is "partial 16S ribosomal RNA". It matches the Rfam family "Bacterial small subunit ribosomal RNA", at positions 83 to 353 of the family's 1533-position model. The record is from RNAcentral.